Toxorhynchites rutilus septentrionalis is the source of this 547-nucleotide long non-coding RNA. RefSeq lists it as uncharacterized. The transcript has 2 exons. The record is from RefSeq and is a predicted model, not a curated record. NCBI's taxonomy places the organism in Eukaryota, Metazoa, Arthropoda, Insecta, Diptera, Culicidae.
UCAAACAACAAGCACUCAGCGAGUGCAUUGUACGGUUCUUCGAAACGCGUGGAAGUUAAGGAAAAAAGUUUACGGUAGACCACUUCCGAGACGAAAAUGUGCCGGUGAGCACUGUUUACCGGAUCCAGGUAUCCCGGAACGUCGAGCGGAAAACCGGUAGUGGCCGUGCGCCGAAGAUCAAGACGAGAAAGAAAAAGGAAUCUCUGAAAAAGCUGUUUGACAACAAGGACGAACCCUCAAGCAGGAGAGCAUCGUUAGGUCCACAGAGUACACGGACAAGCAGAUACCGACCAUGAAAUCGUUCAGGACGUCGGUCGUGCUGAAUAUAUGUACCAAAAUAAUUGGAGGGCCACGGACACCAAGCAGCCGACCACGAGGAUCCGAAAUUGCAUCCGGGGGAUGGAUGUCAGGGCCGUCAAGCGCUUUUGUAAGAACAUCUCCACCAAGUUGCGCCGUACGGCUGAGCAUGGCCCUUUUGCCAACAUUCACUGUUUUUUUCUGAAGAACAUCCGUUAUGUUUUUAAUAAAAAUAUUGAAAUGCUUUAAA